RNAcentral lists this ribosomal RNA (423 nucleotides) under uncultured bacterium. Its description in RNAcentral is "bacterial SSU rRNA". It matches the Rfam family "Bacterial small subunit ribosomal RNA", at positions 362 to 776 of the family's 1533-position model. The record is from RNAcentral.
UCUUGCGCAAUGGACGAAAGUCUGACGCAGCCACGCCGCGUGAGUGAAGAAGGCCUUCGGGUUGUAAAGCUCUGUUGCCCGGGACGAAAAGGUUUACGGUGAAUAGCCGUAGAUCCUGACGGUACCGGGAAAGGAAGCACCGGCUAACUCUGUGCCAGCAGCCGCGGUAAUACAGAGGGUGCAAGCGUUGCUCGGAAUCAUUGGGCGUAAAGGGUAGGUAGGUGGUCUCGUUUGUCUAGGGUGAAAGCCUUGAGCUUAACUCAAGAAGUGCCCUAGAAACGGCGAGACUAGAGUCCUGGAGAGGGUCGUGGAAUUCCCGGUGUAGCGGUGAAAUGCGUAGAGAUCGGGAGGAACACCAGAGGCGAAGGCGGCGACCUGGACAGGUACUGACACUCAACUACGAAAGCGUGGGGAGCAAACAGG